Molecule: unclassified non-coding RNA, 224 nt
Filed under: Hevea brasiliensis (rubber tree)
Lineage: Eukaryota; Viridiplantae; Streptophyta; Magnoliopsida; Malpighiales; Euphorbiaceae
Source: RNAcentral
GUUGACAGUGGGCAUAGCAGUAGGAUUUGAAAUAUUGAAGCAAAGGGAUAGGUUUAGAGCUCUAAUACCAUGUAAAGCCUUUAAGGUGAAUUGUAUUCUUUUGUAUGUAUUUUAAGUACAUGAAAAGAGCAAUAUAAAUACAAUAUACUGAUACGAAACCUCCCUAUUCAGUGGCUACAAAUCCUCUACAACUAGUAUUCUAAAACAAAAGAUUUACAAAGAAU